CGAAUGCUGACAUAAGUAACGAUAAAGCGGGUGAAAAGCCCGCUCGCCGGAAGACCAAGGGUUCCUGUCCAACGUUAAUCGGGGCAGGGUGAGUCGACCCCUAAGGCGAGGCCGAAAGGCGUAGUCGAUGGGAAACAGGUUAAUAUUCCUGUACUUGGUGUUACUGCGAAGGGGGGACGGAGAAGGCUAUGUUGGCCGGGCGACGGUUGUCCCGGUUUAAGCGUGUAGGCUGGUUUUCCAGGCAAAUCCGGAAAAUCAAGGCUGAGGCGUGAUGACGAGGCACUACGGUGCUGAAGCAACAAAUGCCCUGCUUCCAGGAAAAGCCUCUAAGCAUCAGGUAACAUCAAAUCGUACCCCAAACCGACACAGGUGGUCAGGUAGAGAAUACCAAGGCGCUUGAGAGAACUCGGGUGAAGGAACUAGGCAAAAUGGUGCCGUAACUUCGGGAGAAGGCACGCUGAUAUGUAGGUGAAGCGACUUGCUCGUGGAGCUGAAAUCAGUCGAAGAUACCAGCUGGCUGCAACUGUUUAUUAAAAACACAGCACUGUGCAAACACGAAAGUGGACGUAUACGGUGUGACGCCUGCCCGGUGCCGGAAGGUUAAUUGAUGGGGUCAGCGCAAGCGAAGCUCUUGAUCGAAGCCCCGGUAAACGGCGGCCGUAA
Molecule: ribosomal RNA, 663 nt
Filed under: Escherichia coli
Lineage: Bacteria; Pseudomonadati; Pseudomonadota; Gammaproteobacteria; Enterobacterales; Enterobacteriaceae
Description: partial 23S ribosomal RNA
Rfam family: Bacterial large subunit ribosomal RNA
Source: RNAcentral